GAUGAACGCUGGCGGCGUGCUUAACACAUGCAAGUCGAACGGAAAGGCCCAAGCUUGCUUGGGUACUCGAGUGGCGAACGGGUGAGUAACACGUGGGUGAUCUGCCCUGCACUUCGGGAUAAGCCUGGGAAACUGGGUCUAAUACCGGAUAGGACCACUUCUUGGAUGUUGUGGUGGAAAGUUUUUUCGGUGUGGGAUGAGCUCGCGGCCUAUCAGCUUGUUGGUGGGGUAAUGGCCUACCAAGGCGUCGACGGGUAGCCGGCCUGAGAGGGUGUACGGCCACAUUGGGACUGAGAUACGGCCCAGACUCCUACGGGAGGCAGAAGUGGGGAAUAUUGCACAAUGGGCGCAAGCCUGAUGCAGCGACGCCGCGUGGGGGAUGACGGCCUUCGGGUUGUAAACUCCUUUCGCUAGGGACGAAGCGUUUUGUGACGGUACCUGGAGAAGAAGCACCGGCUAACUACGUG
This 467-nucleotide ribosomal RNA is filed under the name uncultured bacterium. RNAcentral describes it as "partial 16S ribosomal RNA". It matches the Rfam family "Bacterial small subunit ribosomal RNA", at positions 28 to 507 of the family's 1533-position model. The record is from RNAcentral.